Molecule: ribosomal RNA, 254 nt
Filed under: uncultured bacterium
Lineage: Bacteria
Description: partial 16S ribosomal RNA
Rfam family: Bacterial small subunit ribosomal RNA
Source: RNAcentral
UACGUAGGGGGCAAGCGUUGUCCGGAAUCAUUGGGCGUAAAGCGCGUGUAGGCGGUUCGGUAAGUCCGCUGUGAAAGUCCAGGGCUCAACCCUGGGAUGCCGGUGGAUACUGUCGGACUAGAGUACGGAAGAGGCGAGUGGAAUUCCCGGUGUAGUGGUGGAAUGCGUAGAGAUUGGGAGGAACACCGGUGGCGAGGGCGGCUCACUGGGCCGGUCCUGGACGCUCAGGCGCGAAAGCGUGGGGAGCGAUCCGG